This 292-nucleotide ribosomal RNA is filed under the name uncultured bacterium. Its description in RNAcentral is "partial 16S ribosomal RNA". It matches the Rfam family "Bacterial small subunit ribosomal RNA", at positions 505 to 796 of the family's 1533-position model. The record is from RNAcentral.
GUGUCAGCCGCCGCGGUAAUACGAAGGUCCCAAGCGUUGUUCGGAUUUACUGGGCGUAAAGAGUCUGUAGGCGGCGGGGUAAGUCAGAUGUGAAAUCCCGGGGCUCAACCCCGGAACUGCAUCCGAUACUGCCUUGCUAGAGUAUUGGAGGGGAGCCUGGAAUUCUCGGUGUAGCAGUGAAAUGCGUAGAUAUCGAGAGGAACACUAGUGGCGAAGGCGAGGCUCUGGACAAUUACUGACGCUGAGAGACGAAGGUCAGGGGAGCGAAAAGGAUUAGAUACCCGCGUAGUCC